AAAGAAAUAACUUGUGACAAUAAAUUUACAACAAUGUACAGUCUCAAUGAAGCAUUGUACAUUAAUAAUUUGACUUUUCAGUUUUCAGUUAUCGCGAAUCAAAUUAGUUGGCUCGCUUAGAACAUACUUGGGCAACUCGUACUUGGCGCCUCUUUCGUCAUAGCAUAUUGUUAGAUCAGGGGCUUGCACGAUUAUCCCGGCACUGUCCACGAUUGCUUGUGCAAGGCUUAUAUCCGACUCUGCUGCAGCUCGGAGUGCAUCCCAGAUCUCUUUUCGACCCCCAUAAUGUGGUGCUGUGUCCCAGAAUUCAU
This 311-nucleotide unclassified non-coding RNA is filed under the name Hevea brasiliensis (rubber tree). Lineage: Eukaryota; Viridiplantae; Streptophyta; Magnoliopsida; Malpighiales; Euphorbiaceae. The record is from RNAcentral.